Molecule: ribosomal RNA, 252 nt
Filed under: uncultured bacterium
Lineage: Bacteria
Description: partial 16S ribosomal RNA
Rfam family: Bacterial small subunit ribosomal RNA
Source: RNAcentral
UACGUAGGGGGCAAGCGUUGUCCGGAUUUAUUGGGCGUAAAGAGCGUGUAGGCGGCCUGAAAGGUCAGCUGUGAAAACUCGAGGCUCAACCUCGAGACGUCGGUUGAAACCAUCUGGCUAGAGUCCGGAAGAGGAGAGUGGAAUUCCCGGUGUAGCGGUGAAAUGCGCAGAUAUCAGGAGGAACCCCGGUGGCGAAGGCGGGUCUCUGGCCGUUACUGACGCUGAGGAGCGAAAGCGUGGGGAGCGAACAGG